CAAAGGUUAGUUUAAAAAAAAUAUAAAUUUUGGAGAUUUAAGAUACCACCUAUUACCUUUGU
Molecule: transfer RNA, 62 nt
Filed under: Sacculina confragosa
Lineage: Eukaryota; Metazoa; Arthropoda; Thecostraca; Sacculinidae
Description: tRNA-Pro
Source: RNAcentral